Molecule: ribosomal RNA, 517 nt
Filed under: Salmonella enterica
Lineage: Bacteria; Pseudomonadati; Pseudomonadota; Gammaproteobacteria; Enterobacterales; Enterobacteriaceae
Description: partial 23S ribosomal RNA
Rfam family: Bacterial large subunit ribosomal RNA
Source: RNAcentral
AACCGAGUCUUAACCGGGCGUUAAGUUGCAGGGUAUAGACCCGAAACCCGGUGAUCUAGCCAUGGGCAGGUUGAAGGUUGGGUAACACUAACUGGAGGACCGAACCGACUAAUGUUGAAAAAUUAGCGGAUGACCUGUGGCUGGGGGUGAAAGGCCAAUCAAACCGGGAGAUAGCUGGUUCUCCCCGAAAGCUAUUUAGGUAGCGCCUCGUGAAUUCAUCUCCGGGGGUAGAGCACUGUUUCGGCUAGGGGGCCAUCCCGGCUUACCAACCCGAUGCAAACUGCGAAUACCGGAGAAUGUUAUCACGGGAGACACACGGCGGGUGCUAACGUCCGUCGUGAAGAGGGAAACAACCCAGACCGCCAGCUAAGGUCCCAAAGUCAUGGUUAAGUGGGAAACGAUGUGGGAAGGCCCAGACAGCCAGGAUGUUGGCUUAGAAGCAGCCAUCAUUUAAAGAAAGCGUAAUAGCUCACUGGUCGAGUCGGCCUGCGCGGAAGAUGUAACGGGGCUAAACCAU